Molecule: ribosomal RNA, 253 nt
Filed under: uncultured bacterium
Lineage: Bacteria
Description: partial 16S ribosomal RNA
Rfam family: Bacterial small subunit ribosomal RNA
Source: RNAcentral
UACGUAGGUGGCACGCGUUGUCCGGAAUUACUGGGUGUAAAGGGAGCGCAGGCGGGGGAUUAAGUUGGAUGUGAAAUACUCAGGCUCAACCUGGGGGCUGCAUCCAAAACUGGUUCUCUUGAGUGAAGUUGAGGUAGGCGGAAUUCCUAGUGUAGCGGUGAAAUGCGUAGAUAUUAGGAGGAGCACCAGUGGCGAAGGCGGCCUACUGGGCUUUAACUGACGCUGAGGCUCGAAAGCGUGGGGAGCAAACAGG